UACAGAGGGGGCAAGCGUUGUUCGGAAUUACUGGGCGUAAAGGGCGCGUAGGCGGCCUGCUAAGUCGGACGUGAAAUCCCUGGGCUCAACCCAGGAACUGCGUCCGAUACUGGUUGGCUUGAAUCCGGGAGAGGGAUGUGGAAUUCCAGGUGUAGCGGUGAAAUGCGUAGAUAUCUGGAGGAACACCGGUGGCGAAGGCGACAUCCUGGACCGGCAUUGACGCUGAGGCGCGAAAGCCAGGGGAGCAAACGGG
Molecule: ribosomal RNA, 253 nt
Filed under: uncultured bacterium
Lineage: Bacteria
Description: partial 16S ribosomal RNA
Rfam family: Bacterial small subunit ribosomal RNA
Source: RNAcentral